RNAcentral lists this unclassified non-coding RNA (234 nucleotides) under root metagenome. RNAcentral's name for it is "partial contains small subunit ribosomal RNA, internal transcribed spacer 1, and 5.8S ribosomal RNA". The record is from RNAcentral.
UCUCCGUAGGUGAACCUGCGGAGGGAUCAUUACACAACAAAAUAGGAAGGCCUGGCUUCACGGCCGGCUGAAAUAUUUUUUCCACCCAUGUCUUUUGCGCACUUGUUGUUUCCUGGGCGGGCUCGCCCGCCACCAGGACCAAACCAUAAACCUUUUUUUCUUAUGCAGUUUCCAUCAGCGUCAGUAAAAACAAUGUAAUUAUUACAACUUUCAACAACGGAUCUCUUGGUUCUG